This 639-nucleotide long non-coding RNA is filed under the name Elaeis guineensis (African oil palm). Its description in RNAcentral is "long non-coding RNA (EGUI_LNC005072)". The record is from RNAcentral. Lineage: Eukaryota; Viridiplantae; Streptophyta; Magnoliopsida; Arecales; Arecaceae.
AAGGAUGGCUUAGUCUAGAGUCCAGACUUACACCAUUGUCACACAAAAUCACCAAAAAUAAUUAGCUUAGUAUAGUAGAAAUGGUGAGGCUUUCAAAGUUAGAGGUGCCUUCAAGAGAAAACUUCGAGUGUUUUGAUGGAAAAAAUAUUAGUUGAAGGCCCUCUCAACAUGUGGGGGUUAACUUAUCAAAAAGAUCAAGCUUGGCUUAGAAAUUAGACCAGGAAGAAUCCUUUGGAUAGAUGAUGCAUGCUGCAGAAUGGCGAAAUUGGAUGAUUGAUAACUUGAGAUAAAAGCAGAGAGGGGAAGCAUAAAUUGACGAAACGCACAAAGGAGGACCCAUAGAACCUGAACGUCUGAACUUGCAACUAAUAGUGUCCAUGACGAAACUACCGAUCGUUCUUCCCUUCCUCAGGCCUUUAUAUUGAAAAUAUGAUGAUAGGCAAAAGAUAGAUAAAACAAUUUACACAUAAUUCUCUUCUAAAUAAUAUAUUAAAUUAAAAAUAUUAGAGAGUGGUCUGAAAUCGAGGUAUGCUUAAAAAUACUAUUGUAAAAGCGAUAUCGCCCCCCCAUGUGCGAGGCUACUGGUGGCCUAUCAUAGAGAUACCAUCAUCCGGUGGAUGAGCACUCAUUCCUCUCUAU